RNAcentral lists this long non-coding RNA (1610 nucleotides) under Homo sapiens (human). Its description in RNAcentral is "HSALNT0311766". The record is from RNAcentral. Lineage: Eukaryota; Metazoa; Chordata; Mammalia; Primates; Hominidae.
CUGAUGUGGGAGACCCCCCACGUGGGGACUGCCAGUAUACCGCUUCCCUUCGGGCUGGCCAGUCCUCAAGUAGAGACACUGAGGUAGGGCAAGCGCAUCUACGGGGAAGAGCGCUGCCUCGGGCGUUAAUGGGAGAGAGAGCUGAGGCAGAAGGGGGAUCGGAACUCCCGCUCCAGAAGCGUGAAGGUGGGGGUGUAUGAGAGCACCCACCCAGAACCUUGCAGGAAAAAGUUGCUUUGCACAUGGGUGACCCCGCAGGCCACAUCAUCCACACAUCCAUACGCCGCCCCGUAGGUAAGGGGUCCGGGCCUCCAGGACAGGAGACUCAGCUCUGGGAGGACGGCCACCAUCUCUGGCUCAGUCACAUUUGGUCCCCAGAUUCUGGCAACCCUGGGUAAAAGCUCAGUCACCUGACCUAGUGACGACCACAAGCAGGACCACCCACCAGGAGACAGAAGAGAGAAAACUGUAUAUGAAGACAAGGAUUUCUCCAGAAGAGACCAGGAGCAAGUAUAAGGACUGGAGGAAUAAAAUGGGCUACGGAACACAGGCAGAUGAAGCAAAUCACCCACCCCUCAAUGCCUGCUCAGCAAGCAUCCACGCCUAGGAAAGGGCCCCAAAGUAUUCCUCUGAAGGUCUGGGAAAGGUAUGGUAAUUACAGGCACACAUUAUACAGGAUAGCUCAAUGUCAGCAGAACUCACAUAAACAGGAUGAACAUGGUCUACAAGAGUCUGACCUAAGCUGUGCUCCCAGGACAGAGCAGGGGCAAUUACGGGUGGAGCUCCUGCCUAGAAGGCCAGUGGGUAGGGGCCUCCGAUCCUGGGAUAUGAUGCCUCAAUGUGGGCUCUGAUCAAUUUAAAGAUUUCUUAUCAUGGGUGAAAACCCUACUAAAUUUUUUUUUUUUUUGAGACAGAGUCGCUGUUGCCCAGGCUGGAGUGCAGUGGCGUGAUCUCGGCUCACUGCAACCUCCUCCUGCCAGGUUCUAGCAAUUCUCCUGCCUCAGCUUCCUGACUAGCUGGGAUUACAGGCACACGCUGCCACGUCCAGUUAAUAUUUUGUAUUUUAGUAGAGACGGGGUUUCACCGUGUUGCCCAGGCUGGUCUCAAACUUCUGGGCUCAGGCAAUCCACCCUCCUCGGCCUCCCAAAGUGCUGGGAUUACAGGUGUGAGCUCAUGCCUGUAAUCUGCCCCUUCAUGCUAAGGUAAAGCUGCUCCUGGCUCCCAGGCUCUAUGAGUGCUCUGAUCUCAUCUCUGGAACCGGCCUGUAAGCCUGGCAAACAUCAAGACCUGACCCCACUGCUUACCUCAAUGGGAGCCGUAAUGCCUUGACACUUUCGUCCCAAGCCAGAGCCUUCCCGCCAGCCCAUGGCCUGCAGCAUCUUGUUGCCAAUGUUACUGUGGUCAAUGCCAUCUUUGGUGGGUUGCUCGUAAUUCCUGCCAGUGGCAAACACACAGUUACUUAAAACAGCCAGGGCCCCAGCUUACGAACUGGAAAAUGUGCACAUCACAUACACAGUGCCGGCAUCAAACUGCUUCUUGCGCUUGGGCUCUGGAGGUUCUGGAAUGCCGUACUUCUCCCGUCUUUCUGCAGCUCGGUCUCGGUAUUUCAU